UAAAGCUGGAAUAGAAACGCUCACGUGUGAUGCUUGAUGAAGGAGAGAAACACCGCAAUCUGCUCUAAACUGCGUCUUACUGGAUAGCACCGCUUCAAGGAAUUUGAAUUCUACUUUUCUUUUGUGCGGAGGAAGCUUUAACAGAAGGGAUUAUACAGUUUGAAGGAUGUUCUCCAUGAAGGACCGUGGCUUCCUCAGGUGCCUCAAGACCAAGAUGAUGCAGAAUUUAGGACCUCUCUUGAAGUAAAUCCUUUGGUAGAAAAAAGUACUGCAAGUAGGGCAAGGUGAAGAAGGACCAUGAGCAACCUUUGUUGUCCACUUAAAGCCAGAUAGCUGUGAUGACCUUUACUGUUUAAAGGAAUAUAUCUGUGUU
Molecule: long non-coding RNA, 373 nt
Organism: Trichomycterus rosablanca
Lineage: Eukaryota; Metazoa; Chordata; Actinopteri; Siluriformes; Trichomycteridae
Exons: 3
Source: RefSeq, a predicted model, not a curated record